UACGUAGGGGCCAAGCGUUGUCCGGAUUUAUUGGGCGUAAAGAGCUCGUAGGCGGUUUGGUAAGUCUGGUGUGAAAUCUCCACGCUCAACGUGGAGGGGCCACCCGAUACUGCCAUGACUAGAGUCCGGUAGGGGAGUGUGGAAUUCCCGGUGUAGCGGUGAAAUGCGCAGAGAUCGGGAGGAACACCCGUAGCGAAGGCGGCACUCUGGGCCGGUACUGACGCUGAGGAGCGAAAGCGUGGGGAGCGAACAGG
This 254-nucleotide ribosomal RNA is filed under the name uncultured bacterium. Its description in RNAcentral is "partial 16S ribosomal RNA". It matches the Rfam family "Bacterial small subunit ribosomal RNA", at positions 524 to 776 of the family's 1533-position model. The record is from RNAcentral.